GGGUGUCGCCAAGUGGUAAGGCCCUAGCUUCCCAAGCUAGUAUCCGCGGGUUCGAAUCCCGUCACCC
This 67-nucleotide transfer RNA is filed under the name bovine gut metagenome. It matches the Rfam family "tRNA". Rfam says of the family: Transfer RNA (tRNA) molecules are approximately 80 nucleotides in length. Their secondary structure includes four short double-helical elements and three loops (D, anti-codon, and T loops). The record is from RNAcentral.